This is a long non-coding RNA of Sapajus apella (tufted capuchin), 232 nucleotides long. RefSeq lists it as uncharacterized. NCBI's taxonomy places the organism in Eukaryota, Metazoa, Chordata, Mammalia, Primates, Cebidae. The record is from RefSeq and is a predicted model, not a curated record. The transcript has 2 exons.
AGGUUUUGAGCACGUUUGGAUUAACUGCCAAAAGAAAUCCUUCAAAAGGAAAGCUCCAUUCCGCUGUCUGGCUUUCAAGGAAGAAGGGCUGAACCAUGCCAAGUUAUUGUGACGUUUGGGACAAACCAAAGAAUUGAGCACACUGGUAAGUCAUUUUGAAAACAGAGACCUAGCCAAGGAUAUGUUCACUUAGUAAGAGGUCACAUCUUCUGCAAAAUAACAAAGCAAUCAA